This 431-nucleotide ribosomal RNA is filed under the name uncultured bacterium. RNAcentral describes it as "partial 16S ribosomal RNA". It matches the Rfam family "Bacterial small subunit ribosomal RNA", at positions 29 to 507 of the family's 1533-position model. The record is from RNAcentral.
AGCGAACGCUGGCGGCAGGCUUAACACAUGCAAGUCGAGCGCCCCGCCAGGGGAGCGGCCGACGGGAGAGUAACACGUGGGAACAUACCUUUUGGUUCGGAACAACUGAGGGAAACUUCAGCUAAUACCGGAUAAGCCCUUACGGGGAAAGAUUUAUCGCCGAAAGAUUGGCCCGCGUCUGAUUAGCUAGUUGGUGAGGUAACGGCUCACCAAGGCGACGAUCAGUAGCUGGUCUGAGAGGAUGAUCAGCCUCACUGGGACUGAGACACGGCCCAGACUCCUACGGGAAGCAGCAGUGGGGAAUAUUGGACAAUGGGGGCAACCCUGAUCCAGCCAUGCCGCGUGAGUGAUGAAGGCCUUAGGGUUGUAAAGCUCUUUUGCCCGGGAAGAUAAUGACGGUACCGGGAGAAUAAGCCCCGGCUAACUUCGUG